This 465-nucleotide ribosomal RNA is filed under the name uncultured bacterium. RNAcentral's name for it is "partial 16S ribosomal RNA". It matches the Rfam family "Bacterial small subunit ribosomal RNA", at positions 28 to 507 of the family's 1533-position model. The record is from RNAcentral.
GACGAACACUGGCGGCGUGCUUAACACAUGCAAGUCGAACGGAAAGGCCCCUUUGGGGGUACUCGAGUGGCGCACGGGUGAGUAACACGUGAGUAACCUGCCCUUGACUUCGGGAUAACUUCAGGAAACUGGGGCUAAUACCGGAUAGGAAUCCUUGCUGCAUGGUGGGGGUUGGAAAGCUUCGGCGGUUUUGGAUGGACUCGCGGCUUAUCAGCUUGUUGGUGGGGUAGUGGCUUACCAAGGCUUUGACGGGUAGCCGGCCUGAGAGGGCGACCGGCCACAUUGGGACCGAGAUACGGCCCAGACUCCGACGGGAGGCAGCAGUGGGGAAUAUUGCACAAUGGGCGGAAGCCGGAUGCAGCAACGCCGCGUGCGGGAUGACGGCCUUCGGGUUGUAAACCGCUUUCAGCAGGGGCGAAGCUUGUGGUGACGGUACCUGCAGAAGAAGCACCGGCUAACUACGUG